RNAcentral lists this ribosomal RNA (497 nucleotides) under uncultured bacterium. RNAcentral describes it as "partial 16S ribosomal RNA". It matches the Rfam family "Bacterial small subunit ribosomal RNA", at positions 28 to 507 of the family's 1533-position model. The record is from RNAcentral.
GAUGAACGCUGGCGGCGUGCCUAAUACAUGCAAGUCGAGCGAACAGACGAGGAGCUUGCUCCUCUGACGUUAGCGGCGGACGGGUGAGUAACACGUGGAUAACCUACCUAUAAGACUGGGAUAACGUCGGGAAACCGGAGCUAAUACCGGAUAAUAUAUUGAACCGCAUGGUUCAAUAGUGAAAGACGGUUUUGCUGUCACUUAUAGAUGGAUCCGCGCCGCAUUAGCUAGUUGGUAAGGUAACGGCUUACCAAGGCAACGAUGCGUAGCCGACCUGAGAGGGUGAUCGGCCACACUGGAACUGAGACACGGUCCAGACUCCUACGGGAGGCAGCAGUAGGGAAUCUUCCGCAAUGGGCGAAAGCUUGACGGAGCAACGCCGCGUGAGUGAUGAAGGUCUUCGGAUCGUAAAACUCUGUUAUUAGGGAAGAACAAAUGUGUAAGUAACUAUGCACGUCUUGACGGUACCUAAUCAGAAAGCCACGGCUAACUACGUG